UAAUUUGGACUCAGAAAUAACGUUGGUAGUAUAUUAAUUUUCUGUUGUUAUAAUGUUAUCGUUUUAUAUUGUGCGCAACGCUCAUCGCGACAGCCAUGAUGUACAGGAUUAUCCUACAUACGAUGCGUGAGUGCGUAUACACGUGUGUCAAUCGAGGAGUGCGGAGUGCUCUUUAUUUACAGCAUAAUUAUAUAUAAGUAUAGCUGGUGAUGUAGGAUUCAUUUUCCGAUUUACAAGAGAGAUUUACAAAAGAGAGGAAAUAUCAAUUAAUUUUUUUACGUUCUAUAAUAGAUUUGUCCUUGGACAUUAAAAAUAUCAUCAAGGGCAAUGAAUAUGUCUUAACAUAUGGGAUCAAUUGUUGUAUCAAAUUCAAAAAACCACCAUUUGAAAAAUUUGACCCUGGCUAAGAUAAACAUCAGUGAACAAUAUAUUAUAAGGAAAACUCUGUACAAGAUACUAGAAAUGCUAAAAGAUGACCAAGAAGCUUUUACACAAGUCAGGCUAUUAGACAACAAUCCCUUGUAAUACAGAGAAAGACUUGGAACACUCUAUAAUGGAGUAGCUUAGAUUUGCAAACAUCCGUAAACAAAGGAAAAAAUCUUAAAAGCAACUGUUUGGUAAAGAUCCGAAAAGAUUAAUAAUCUGUUUAAAAGGAAAGAAUAAGAGUUUGGAAAAAAAUAGUAAAAGAGUUAUAUUAAACUAGAGCACCUGUAUCGCAUUGCCUAAAAAAGAAUUAGAAGGCACCUUAAUUUCCCUUAUCCGAAGGUUGACUUCAAUAAUCCCUUCCUAGGAUCCCUUCCUAGAAUUAAUACUUUCUAAGAUAAUUGGCAGAGAUAAUUUGCAGAAAUAAUUGGCACACGAAAUAAAUCUCAUAAUAAAACCUAUAUAUGUAUAUGUAUAUGUAUAUAUUUGU
Long non-coding RNA from Temnothorax curvispinosus, 913 nucleotides. RefSeq lists it as uncharacterized. The record is from RefSeq and is a predicted model, not a curated record. NCBI's taxonomy places the organism in Eukaryota, Metazoa, Arthropoda, Insecta, Hymenoptera, Formicidae. The transcript is spliced from 5 exons.